Molecule: ribosomal RNA, 468 nt
Filed under: uncultured bacterium
Lineage: Bacteria
Description: partial 16S ribosomal RNA
Rfam family: Bacterial small subunit ribosomal RNA
Source: RNAcentral
GACGAACGCUGGCGGCGUGCUUAACACAUGCGAGUCGAACGGAAAGGCCCUGCUUUUGUGGGGUGCUCGAGUGGCGAACGGGUGAGUAACACGUGAGUAACCUGCCCUUGACUUUGGGAUAACUUCAGGAAACUGGGGCUAAUACCGGAUAGGAGCUCCUGCUGCAUGGUGGGGGUUGGAAAGUUUCGGCGGUUGGGGAUGGACUGGCGGCUCAUCAGCUUGUUGGUGGGGUAGUGGCUUACCAAGGCUUUGACGGGUAGCCGGCCUGAGAGGGUGACCGGCCACAUUGGGACUGAGAUGCGGCCCAGACUCCUACGGGAGGCAGCAGUGGAGAAUAUUGCGCAAUGGGCGGAAGCCGGAUGCAGCAACGCCGCGUGCGGGAUGACGGCCUUCGGGUUAUAAACCGCUUUCGCCUGUGACGAAGCGUGAGUGACGGUAAUGGGUAAAGAAGCAACGGCUAACUACGUG